Molecule: ribosomal RNA, 755 nt
Filed under: Austroplaca sp. 9 UA-2013
Lineage: Eukaryota; Fungi; Ascomycota; Lecanoromycetes; Teloschistales; Teloschistaceae
Description: LSU rRNA
Rfam family: Eukaryotic large subunit ribosomal RNA
Source: RNAcentral
GCGCCGGUCUAAGUCCCUUGGAACGGGGCGUCAUAGAGGGUGAGAAUCCCGUACGCGACCGGUGGCCGAGUCCAUGUGAAACCCCUUCGACGAGUCGAGUUGUUUGGGAAUGCAGCUCAAAAUGGGUGGUAAAUUUCAUCUAAAGCUAAAUACCGGCCAGAGACCGAUAGCGCACAAGUAGAGUGAUCGAAAGAUGAAAAGCACUUUGGAAAGAGAGUCAAACAGUACGUGAAAUUGUUGAAAGGGAAGCGCUUGCAACCAGACCUGCCCGCGGGUGAUCAACUGUCCUUCUGGGCGGUGCACUCGCCCGUGAUCAGGCCAGCAUCGGUUCGGGCGGCCGGAUAAAGGCCUUGGGAACGUAGCUCCUCUCGGGGAGUGUUAUAGCCCUCGGUGCAAUGCGGCCAGCCUGGACCGAGGACCGCGCUUCGGCUAGGAUGCUGGCGUAAUGGUUGUAAGCGGCCCGUCUUGAAACACGGACCAAGGAGUCUAACAUCUAUGCGAGUGUUUGGGUGUCAAACCCAUACGCGUAAUGAAAGUGAACGGAGGUGGGAACCCUUCACGGGGCGCACCAUCGACCGAUCCAGAUGUCUUCGGAUGGAUUUGAGUACGAGCAUAGCUGUUGGGACCCGAAAGAGAGUGAACUAUGCCUGAAUAGGGUGAAGCCAGAGGAAACUCUGGUGGAGGCUCGCAGCGGUUCUGACGUGCAAAUCGAUCGUCAAAUUUGGGCAUAGGGGCGAAAGACUAAUCGAACCAUC